RNAcentral lists this long non-coding RNA (964 nucleotides) under Vulpes vulpes (red fox). Its description in RNAcentral is "lncRNA (ENSVVUG00000019005.1)". The record is from RNAcentral. Lineage: Eukaryota; Metazoa; Chordata; Mammalia; Carnivora; Canidae.
CAAAAAUACCAGUGACAGGUGCACAUACAUUUUUGAGAGGUGGGCUAGGGAGUCAGACCCGUCAGCUACGAUGUAUAAACAGAGGAGGUGCUUGUAUGUUUCUUUUACUGAUGUGGGAGGCUUAGAAGUGCUUCCAGAAUAAAAAGAUCACAAAUGAAAGUGUAAUCCCAGGAAAUUUCUAAAUUAAAGUUUGAUUUAUUACCUGUUUCAUGCUCUUCUCUUCAGUGUUGAGGGAAACUGGAAACAAUUUAUGUCCUUUCAGUUCUGCCAUCCAUGAAUUGUGCCUCAGUGUCAAUGUGUAAGUUGAAUUUCAAUUUUCAUUGUUAUUUUUCCCUGUUGACGCUGGCGCAUAAACGUAAUUGCGUUGGAACUAAAGUUAUUGCUUAAGUAGCUGGGAACUCCUGUGGCAUUAGAUUACGGCUGGUGAUGGGGUGCACUUUUCAAAUGUGCAGGUUUACAGCCUUCGGGGAUUGCAGUGAAUGGCUCGUUUACAUGACUUCCAUGUCUUGGUUUUCAUUAACUUGUCCAAAGUCUAGAUGUUCUACUAGAAGAAAAAGUCUGAUCAUUUCUAAAGCGUUUGUUGCUUUCAGAAGUUGAUCAUGGGAUUUUCUACUCAGUAUGGCUGCCGUGAGCAAAAGGAUGCCAGAAUUUGAUAUCAACAACGGCAUGGAGCCGUCCCAGGGAUGCUGUGCUCUCCAGUUACAGGUUCUCUCCUGGCUAGAGGAGGAAUGCGAGGUGGUCUGUGGAAUGACAGGGUAAACUCCUGGUCCUGUGUUCGUCUCCAGAAUCAAACCGUCUGGGAGCACUGCCCGGGAAUCUGCAUUGAGACAAGAACCUUGGUGAUCCUUCUAAGGUAUCUGUACAGUUUAAGAACUUCUUAUAUAAGGUUUCACAUCCCAAAAUUAACUUGCAGUGAAUCUAAUCAAUUGUAGGAGCUGUUCUCAACUUAUCCAUUUUAUGUCCG